RNAcentral lists this ribosomal RNA (460 nucleotides) under uncultured bacterium. RNAcentral describes it as "partial 16S ribosomal RNA". It matches the Rfam family "Bacterial small subunit ribosomal RNA", at positions 338 to 795 of the family's 1533-position model. The record is from RNAcentral.
CCUACGGGAGGCAGCAGUGAGGAAUAUUGGUCAAUGGACGAGAGUCUGAACGAGCCAAGUAGCGUGAAGGAUGCAUGCCCUCUGGGUUGUAAACUUCUUUUAUGUGGGAAUAAAAUGUUCCACGUGUAGGACUUUGUCUUUACCAUAUGAUUAAGGGAAGGCUAACCUGGUUCCAGCAGCCGCGGUGAUACGGAGGGUCCGAGCGUUAUACGGAUUUAUUGGGUUUAAAGGGAGCGUAGGUGGAUUGUUAAGUCAGUUGUGAAAGUUUGCGGCGCAACCGUAACAUUGCAGUUGAAACUGGCAGGCUUGAGUACAGUAGAGGUGGGCGGAAUUCGUGGUGUAGCGGUGAAAUGCGUAGAUAUCACGAAGAACUCCGAUGGCGAAGGCAGCUCACUGGACUGCAACUGACACUGAGGCUCGAAAGUGUGGGUAGCAAACAGGAUUAGAUACCCCUGUAGUC